Molecule: ribosomal RNA, 487 nt
Filed under: uncultured bacterium
Lineage: Bacteria
Description: partial 16S ribosomal RNA
Rfam family: Bacterial small subunit ribosomal RNA
Source: RNAcentral
GACGAACGCUGGCGGCGUGCUUAACACAUGCAAGUCGUACGAUGACCCGGCUCUUCGGAGCUGGUGAUUAGUGGCGAACGGGUGAGUAACACGUGGGUGACCUGCCCUGCACUCUGGGGUAAGCCCGGGAAACUGGGUCUAAUACUGGAUACGACCAGUGGCCGCAUGGUCUGCUGGUGGAAAGCCCUUCGGGGUGGUGUGGGAUGGGCCCGCGGCCUAUCAGCUUGUUGGUGGGGUGAUGGCCUACCAAGGCGACGACGGGUAGCCGGCCUGAGAGGGUGUCCGGCCACACUGGGACUGAGACACGGCCCAGACUCCUACGGGAGGCAGCAGUGGGGAAUCUUGCACAAUGGGCGAAAGCCUGAUGCAGCGACGCCGCGUGAGGGAUGACGGCCUUCGGGUUGUAAACCUCUUUCGGCAGGGAACAAGCCUGGGGGUUUUCUUCUGGGUGAGGGUACCUGCGGAAGAAGCACCGGCUAACUACGUG